GGGGAUAUAGCUCAGUUGGUAGAGCGUCUGCCUUACAAGCAGAAUGUCAGGGGUUCGAAUCCCUUUAUCCCCA
RNAcentral lists this transfer RNA (73 nucleotides) under Prasinococcus sp. CCMP1194. RNAcentral describes it as "tRNA-Val". It matches the Rfam family "tRNA". Rfam says of the family: Transfer RNA (tRNA) molecules are approximately 80 nucleotides in length. Lineage: Eukaryota; Viridiplantae; Prasinodermophyta; Palmophyllophyceae; Prasinococcales; Prasinococcaceae. The record is from RNAcentral.